UUUGAUCCUGGCUCAGGACGAACGCUAGCGGCGUGCCUAAGGUAUGCAAGUCGAACGGGGGCUUCGGCCCCAGUGGCGAACGGUCGAGUAACACGUAGACAACCUGCCUCCAAGUGGGGGAUAACAGCGGGAAACUGCUGCUAAUACCGCAUGUGGCGGGAGAGGGCAUCCUCUCUCUGCUAAAGAUUUAUUGCUUGGAGAUGGGUCUGCGGCCUAUCAGGUAGUUGGUGGGGUAACGGCCCACCAAGCCGACGACGGGUAGCGGGUCUGAGAGGAUGAUCCGCCGGACGGGGACUGAGACACGGCCCCCGACUCCUUCGGGAGGCAGCAAUGAGGAAUAUUGCACAAUGGGCGAAAGCCUGAUGCAGCGACGCCGCGUGGGUGAGGAAGUUCUUCGGAAUGUAAAGCCCUUUUGUCGGGGACGAUCCAAGACGGUACCCGACGAAUAAGCCCCGGCUAACUACGUGCCAGCAGCCGCGGUAAUACGUAGGGGGCAAGCGUUGUCCGGAUUUACUGGGCGUAAAGAGCGCGUAGGCGGAUGUUUAAGUGUGGCCUGAAAGCCCCCGGCUCAACCGGGGAUCCGGGUUGCAUACUGGGCAUCUUGAGGGGGAUAGGGGAAGGUGGAAUUCCUGGUGUAGCGGUGAAAUGCGUAGAGAUCAGGAGGAACACCCGUGGCGAAGGCGGCCUUCUGGGUCCGCCCUGACGCUGAGGCGCGAAAGCGUGGGGAGCGAACGGGAUUAGAUACCCCGGUAGUCCACGCCGUAAACGAUGGUCACUAGGUGUGUGUGGUAUCGACCCCACACGUGCCGCAGCCAACGCAAUAAGUGACCCGCCUGGGGAGUACGGCCGCAAGGUUGAAACUCAAAGGAAUUGACGG
This 877-nucleotide ribosomal RNA is filed under the name uncultured bacterium. Its description in RNAcentral is "bacterial SSU rRNA". It matches the Rfam family "Bacterial small subunit ribosomal RNA", at positions 12 to 916 of the family's 1533-position model. The record is from RNAcentral.